GGGUUGUGAGGUUAAGCGAACAAGCGUACACGGUGGAUGCCCUGGCAGUCAGAGGCGAUGAAGGACGUGCUAAUCUGCGAAAAGCGCCGGUAAGGUGAUAUGAACCGUUAUAACCGGCGAUGUCCGAAUGGGGAAACCCGGUGCACUUCGGUGCAUCAUCGUUAGCUGAAUACAUAGGCUAACGAAGCGAACCGGGGGAACUGAAACAUCUAAGUACCCCGAGGAAAAGAAAUCAACCGAGAUUCCCCCAGUAGCGGCGAGCGAACGGGGAACAGCCCAGAGCCUGAAUCAGCUUGUGUGUCAGUGGAACGGUCUGGAAAGGCCGGCGAUACAGGGUGACAGCCCCGUACACGAAGGCACACAGGCUGUGAGCUCGAUGAGUAGGGCGGGACACGUGAUAUCCUGUCUGAAGAUGGGGGGACCAUCCUCCAAGGCUAAAUACUCCUGACUGACCGAUAGUGAACCAGUACCGUGAGGGAAAGGCGAAAAGAACCCCGGCGAGGGGAGUGAAACAGAACCUGAAACCGUGUACGUACAAGCAGUGGGAGCCUUCGUAAGAGGGUGACUGCGUACCUUUUGUAUAAUGGGUCAGCGACUUAUAUUCUGUAGCAAGGUUAACCGUAUAGGGGAGCCGAAGGGAAACCGAGUCUUAAUUGGGCGUUAAGUUGCAGGGUAUAGACCCGAAACCCGGUGAUCUAGCCAUGGGCAGGUUGAAGGUUGGGUAACACUAACUGGAGGACCGAACCGACUAAUGUUGAAAAAUUAGCGGAUGACCUGUGGCUGGGGGUGAAAGGCCAAUCAAACCGGGAGAUAGCUGGUUCUCCCCGAAAGCUAUUUAGGUAGCGCCUCGUGAACUCAUCUCCGGGGGUAGAGCACUGUUUCGGCUAGGGGGCCAUCCCGGCUUACCAACCCGAUGCAAACUGCGAAUACCGGAGAAUGUUAUCACGGGAGACACACGGCGGGUGCUAACGUCCGUCGUGAAGAGGGAAACAACCCAGACCGCCAGCUAAGGUCCCAAAGUCAUGGUUAAGUGGGAAACGAUGUGGGAAGGCCCAGACAGCCAGGAUGUUGGCUUAGAAGCAGCCAUCAUUUAAAGAAAGCGUAAUAGCUCACUGGUCGAGUCGGCCUGCGCGGAAGAUGUAACGGGGCUAAACCAUGCACCGAAGCUGCGGCAGCGACACGUAUGUGUUGUUGGGUAGGGGAGCGUUCUGUAAGCCUGCGAAGGUGUGCUGUGAGGCAUGCUGGAGGUAUCAGAAGUGCGAAUGCUGACAUAAGUAACGAUAAAGCGGGUGAAAAGCCCGCUCGCCGGAAGACCAAGGGUUCCUGUCCAACGUUAAUCGGGGCAGGGUGAGUCGACCCCUAAGGCGAGGCCGAAAGGCGUAGUCGAUGGGAAACAGGUUAAUAUUCCUGUACUUGGUGUUACUGCGAAGGGGGGACGGAGAAGGCUAUGUCGGCCGGGCGACGGUUGUCCCGGUUUAAGCGUGUAGGCUGACUUUCCAGGCAAAUCCGGAAGGUUAAGGCUGAGGCGUGAUGACGAGGCACCACGGUGCUGAAGUGACAAAUGCCCUGCUUCCAGGAAAAGCCUCUAAGCAUCAGGUAACAUCAAAUCGUACCCCAAACCGACACAGGUGGUCAGGUAGAGAAUACCAAGGCGCUUGAGAGAACUCGGGUGAAGGAACUAGGCAAAAUGGUGCCGUAACUUCGGGAGAAGGCACGCUGACAUGUAGGUGAAGCCCCUGCGGGUGGAGCUGAAGUCAGUCGAAGAUACCAGCUGGCUGCAACUGUUUAUUAAAAACACAGCACUGUGCAAACACGAAAGUGGACGUAUACGGUGUGACGCCUGCCCGGUGCCGGAAGGUUAAUUGAUGGGGUUAUCGCAAGAGAAGCUCCUGAUCGAAGCCCCGGUAAACGGCGGCCGUAACUAUAACGGUCCUAAGGUAGCGAAAUUCCUUGUCGGGUAAGUUCCGACCUGCACGAAUGGCGUAAUGAUGGCCAGGCUGUCUCCACCCGAGACUCAGUGAAAUUGAACUCGCUGUGAAGAUGCAGUGUACCCGCGGCAAGACGGAAAGACCCCGUGAACCUUUACUACAGCUUGACACUGAACAUUGAGCCUUGAUGUGUAGGAUAGGUGGGAGGCUUUGAAGCGUGGACGCCAGUCUGCGUGGAGCCGACCUUGAAAUACCACCCUUUAAUGUUUGAUGUUCUAACCUGGCGCCGUGAUCCGGCGUGGGGACAGUGUCUGGUGGGUAGUUUGACUGGGGCGGUCUCCUCCCAAAGUGUAACGGAGGAGCACGAAGGUCAGCUAAUCCUGGUCGGACAUCAGGAGGUUAGUGCAAUGGCAUAAGCUGGCUUGACUGCGAGAGUGACGGCUCGAGCAGGUGCGAAAGCAGGUCAUAGUGAUCCGGUGGUUCUGUAUGGAAGGGCCAUCGCUCAACGGAUAAAAGGUACUCCGGGGAUAACAGGCUGAUACCGCCCAAGAGUUCAUAUCGACGGCGGUGUUUGGCACCUCGAUGUCGGCUCAUCACAUCCUGGGGCUGAAGUAGGUCCCAAGGGUAUGGCUGUUCGCCAUUUAAAGUGGUACGCGAGCUGGGUUUAGAACGUCGUGAGACAGUUCGGUCCCUAUCUGCCGUGGGCGCUGGAGAAUUGAGGGGGGCUGCUCCCAGUACGAGAGGACCGGAGUGGACGCAUCACUGGUGUUCGGGUUGUCAUGCCAAUGGCACUGCCCGGUAGCUAAAUGCGGAAGAGAUAAGUGCUGAAAGCAUCUAAGCACGAAACUUGCCCCGAGAUGAGUUCUCCCUGAGACUGUAAGUCUCCUGAAGGAACGUUGAAGACGACGACGUUGAUAGGCCGGGUGUGUAAGCGCAGCGAUGCGUUGAGCUAACCGGUACUAAUGAACCGUGAGGCUUAACCUUACAACGCCAAAGAAGU
This 2928-nucleotide ribosomal RNA is filed under the name Cronobacter sakazakii. RNAcentral's name for it is "23S ribosomal RNA". It matches the Rfam family "Bacterial large subunit ribosomal RNA". Lineage: Bacteria; Pseudomonadati; Pseudomonadota; Gammaproteobacteria; Enterobacterales; Enterobacteriaceae. The record is from RNAcentral.